This 208-nucleotide ribosomal RNA is filed under the name Clostridioides sp. ZZV14-6044. Its description in RNAcentral is "partial 16S ribosomal RNA". It matches the Rfam family "Bacterial small subunit ribosomal RNA", at positions 275 to 500 of the family's 1533-position model. The record is from RNAcentral. Lineage: Bacteria; Bacillati; Bacillota; Clostridia; Peptostreptococcales; Peptostreptococcaceae.
GACGAUCAGUAGCCGACCUGAGAGGGUGAUCGGCCACAUUGGAACUGAGACACGGUCCAAACUCCUACGGGAGGCAGCAGGGGGGAAUAUUGCACAAUGGGCGAAAGCCUGAUGCAGCAACGCCGCGUGAGUGAUGAAGGCUUUCGGGUCGUAAAACUCUGUCUGAGCCACGGUGAACGGGGCUACGGGGGGACGUAGUGCGGGAUAU